ACAAAUGCCCUGCUUCCAGGAAAAGCCUCUAAGCAUCAGGUAACAUCAAAUCGUACCCCAAACCGACACAGGUGGUCAGGUAGAGAAUACCAAGGCGCUUGAGAGAACUCGGGUGAAGGAACUAGGCAAAAUGGUGCCGUAACUUCGGGAGAAGGCACGCUGACACGUAGGUGAAGUGAUUUACUCAUGGAGCUGAAGUCAGUCGAAGAUACCAGCUGGCUGCAACUGUUUAUUAAAAACACAGCACUGUGCAAACACGAAAGUGGACGUAUACGGUGUGACGCCUGCCCGGUGCCGGAAGGUUAAUUGAUGGGGUCAGCGCAAGCGAAGCUCCUGAUCGAAGCCCCGGUAAACGGCGGCCGUAACUAUAACGGUCCUAAGGUAGCGAAAUUCCUUGUCGGGUAAGUUCCGACCUGCACGAAUGGCGUAAUGAUGGCCAGGCUGUCUCCACCCGAGACUCAGUGAAAUUGAACUCGCUGUGAAGAUGCAGUGUACCCGCGGCAAGACGGAAAGACCCCGUGAACCUUUACUAUAGCUUGACACUGAACAUUGAGCCUUGAUGUGUAGGAUAGGUGGGAGGCUUUGAAGUGUGGACGCCAGUCUGCAUGGAGCCGACCUUGAAAUACCACCCUUUAAUGUUUGAUGUUCUAACGUGGACCCGUAAUCCGGGUUGCGGACAGUGUCUGGUGGGUAGUUUGACUGGGGCGGUCUCCUCCUAAAGAGUAACGGAGGAGCACGAAGGUUGGCUAAUCCUGGUCGGACAUCAGGAGGUUAGUGCAAUGGCAUAAGCCAGCUUGACUGCGAGCGUGACGGCGCGAGCAGGUGCGAAAGCAGGUCAUAGUGAUCCGGUGGUUCUGAAUGGAAGGGCCAUCGCUCAACGGAUAAAAGGUACUCCGGGGAUAACAGGCUGAUACCGCCCAAGAGUUCAUAUCGACGGCGGUGUUUGGCACCUCGAUGUCGGCUCAUCACAUCCUGGGGCUGAAGUAGGUCCCAAGGGUAUGGCUGUUCGCCAUUUAAAGUGGUACGCGAGCUGGGUUUAGAACGUCGUGAGACAGUUCGGUCCCUAUCUGCCGUGGGCGCUGGAGAACUGAGGGGGGCUGCUCCUAGUACGAGAGGACCGGAGUGGACGCAUCACUGGUGUUCGGGUUGUCAUGCCAAUGGCACUGCCCGGUAGCUAAAUGCGGAAGAGAUAAGUGCUGAAAGCAUCUAAGCACGAAACUUGCCCCGAGAUGAGUUCUCCCUGAGACUUAAAGUCUCCUGAAGGAACGUUGAAGACGACGACGUUGAUAGGCCGGGUGUGUAAGCGCAGCGAUGCGUUGAGCUAACCGGUACUAAUGAACCGUGAGGCUUAACC
This 1354-nucleotide ribosomal RNA is filed under the name Salmonella enterica. RNAcentral's name for it is "bacterial LSU rRNA". It matches the Rfam family "Bacterial large subunit ribosomal RNA", at positions 1593 to 2925 of the family's 2925-position model. Lineage: Bacteria; Pseudomonadati; Pseudomonadota; Gammaproteobacteria; Enterobacterales; Enterobacteriaceae. The record is from RNAcentral.